UCGAACCAAUGUCCUUCCUCUCUUGGGGCAGGCUCUCUGUCCAGUACUCCACAGAUGGGUUCCCCGGAUCAAUGAAUUCAUGGAUAGGCUAGAAUGUCGUAUAUUUCUACAAACGUUCCCAACAUUAACUGUCCAGAAGGUGAGAUUUCUAAGGAACGACUUUAUUUUUUGGGGUCAUCAUUUUGGAAAAGUUGAUAUAAUCCUUUUUCACAACAUAUUGAAUACUUUUCUUGAUAAGGAUUUCUUGAUCAGGUAUCCUUUAUUUCUCAA
This is a long non-coding RNA of Haliotis rufescens (red abalone), 270 nucleotides long. RefSeq lists it as uncharacterized. The record is from RefSeq and is a predicted model, not a curated record. The transcript is spliced from 2 exons. Lineage: Eukaryota; Metazoa; Mollusca; Gastropoda; Lepetellida; Haliotidae.